This 656-nucleotide long non-coding RNA is filed under the name Anser brachyrhynchus (Pink-footed goose). RNAcentral describes it as "lncRNA (ENSABRG00000001353.1)". Lineage: Eukaryota; Metazoa; Chordata; Aves; Anseriformes; Anatidae. The record is from RNAcentral.
ACCUGAUCUCAUGGGAAAUGAGCAAGCCUGCACAGCCAGCCACGUAAAAUGAUAUGUGAAGCAUAUGCAGUGCACAAGCUGACGAUAACAAAAAGACUGUACACUCUUCUGCUCCUCUCUAAAAUAAAGCUGCAUUUGCCACUGAUGGAAGAAUCACUUGGCAGAACUGAGAUGAAGUCACCAGAGUGAAGAAACCACAGUAUGAAUUCUUGUUGUGUGUUGUAGAAAGACAUGUACAGUGGGAAGAGAAGGAUGGACAAUUGCACAUUUCUUCUGAGUUGGUUCACCCUACCCAUGCACAGAAUUAAUCUCCCUUCUUGCUGUUGUUUGCACCUCAACACACACAAAUGUAUCAAACAGUAUUGCUACAGAAGCUGGCCCCCCACAGAAUAAGCAGAUCUCACAAGCAUCCACGUAAUCAUCACUCUCGAUAAAUGGAGAUCAUCAAGGGCAUUUCUCAUCCCUAGAACUACAAGAAGCAUUAACUCAGCUUUUCAUUUAUUUCAUGAGGUAGUAUGCACUCACAAAAAUAGAGCUGAUUUUCCUGACUAGUAAAAUCAUACCCUCCUGAAGGUCUGAGAAACAUGUGGUGUCUUUAGUCUGAUGCCUUCUCAAUCCCCUCACUCAUAGAAAGUGAAGGGAACAGGAAUUUUCAU